Mus caroli (Ryukyu mouse) is the source of this 568-nucleotide long non-coding RNA. RefSeq lists it as uncharacterized. Lineage: Eukaryota; Metazoa; Chordata; Mammalia; Rodentia; Muridae. The record is from RefSeq and is a predicted model, not a curated record.
CCAAAGUGGAGCCAACACGCAGAUGGCCUUCCAGGAUAAUGGGACCUCACGGCUGCGGCUGGGAAAACAUCUGUGCCCCUGACCCGUGUGCACCCCAUUAUCCCGCAGCUGGGGAUGGGACUGGUGGCUGCUUGCUCUCCGACUACUGAGUCCACAGCCCAUGCAGGCAUCAGAAAGCUCAGAGGACUGAAGAGGAUUUGACUCAUCGUGUUUUGGAGUUGGCCCAGACAUUAUGUGCCUGCAUCUGACCCUACUCAUUAGGAGAAUGCUAUUACCUUAGUAAACUAGCUACAGAAGAGGUUGGAGGUAUUACUCAUUCUAUAUGGUGCUGUACAGUUCUGAAAGUCACACUUCUGAUAUUAUGGAUGACCAAAUAAAUGGUUCCUUCUCCUUCUGCCAUGCCUUCUCACCAUGAAAGGCUGUAUUCUCAAACUGUGUUCCAAAGCCAGCCCAUCCUUAAGUUGUCUCCUAAAUAUUGGGUAUUUUUCCACAGCAACUAGAAAAGUAGCUAAUACAGGUGGUUACUUUUAUUAAGUAUUACAAUGCCUAUCACUAAUUGGUCCUGUAA